AUAACUUGUGUGUGUCCGUCUUGAAGGAAGAGCUGCUAUAAGGGGGAGCAGAGAGGCCAGCUCCGACCAGCACAGCACACCGACUUGUUGGCUGAGGCAGUUUCAGUGGCAGCUUGAUUUGCAGUUUCUUUUAUGGUGGUGAGAGACAAGAUUUCUCUGUUGGUCUAGUAAAGGAAGACAGCUAAGACACAGAAUGAAGGUCAUUCUGCCCUUCAAAUCUUCCUCACUUCACUGAGCGUUCUUCAGAAUGAGAAACUCCUGUUUUGAUUCAGAAAUCUGCCCCCGUGGAGACUCUCCUUCCUCAGCAAAAGAAACAGGCGGCAGAAAGAGUGAUUUUGUACUUUGAGGGAUUGUGAUUGGAAGAGUGAAAACAAAGCUGACACCACAUCCGGCCCCUGUUUGUGUCCCAGAUGGACAUCCUCUGAGAAGAGACAAGAACUUUUCAACCAUGCAAACCUCCCCAGCUUGCAGCACAGAAAGAAUUCAUGAAUGAAGAGAGAAAG
Non-coding RNA from Vicugna pacos (alpaca), 503 nucleotides. The record is from RefSeq and is a predicted model, not a curated record. Lineage: Eukaryota; Metazoa; Chordata; Mammalia; Artiodactyla; Camelidae.